GCAGCCUUUCCACCAAAAAUGGUAACGGCAGCAACCCCCCUCCAUGUUUAUGAGAUCCGAUAAAUCCUCCACCAAUCACCAGUGCCAAAUCAGUUCCUUGCCGUGCCUAAUUCACCUUCCCAUCCUUGGCACUAGCGGAUUCGUAGCCUCCAGUCCUUCAGCCUCUCCAUCCGAUUUGGCGCAAAUGCCUCCAGGGAGGAAGGGGCAACGAUGCACAAGGGAAACCCCAGGCCAGAGCCACGUAUUCAAGCUGCUAAGUUUGCAUGAGAGGGUGGUAUUCACGUUUUUUUGUCUUUCUCUUCAAAGCUUUCUCCUGUCGGAAGCAGUUAUCAAGCUUGAUUUCAAGGAAAGUUGUGUGAAGAACAAACUUAAUCGUAAAAAUGUACAAUAUCAACAAUGCACAUGCUCUCAGUCCUACAUUGCAAAGGCUAUUAUAUUGGUAAGAAAAUAACCAUUGUUUACUUAUCUACAUAGUUGAAUGAUACGUGAAUGUGUAAUAUUGCCAAUAUAGUCAGUUUAUCAUCUCUGUUACCUCAUAUAGUUGCCCCAGGUUGUUUCAUUUGUGUUCACUUACAUUUCUUGAUUAUGAAACAACCUUUAUUUUAUGUGCAUAGUUGAAUAAUCUAUGAAUGUGUAAUGCUGCAAAUGAACACCCAUAACCAUUUAAAGAGGUGGUUAUUACGUGUGCUUGCCUCCAUUAAUCAGAGAUCAUGUCUCCUAAAUAAUUUAUAUUGUAGUGUUAAUAGUUGACUAACAGUUCAUCCACCAAACUAUAAUAUUUUAGGUUGUAGCUACGUUACCUACAAGUAUCCUAAUCCUCCUUAUUUGAGCAUUGUGCAGCUCCUCAUGCUCUUUCUCUAAAAAGUCCAUUUACAUAUUCAUCAAGUACUGAAUAGACAGAACAAUAAUAACAGAUAAUGUAUAGCUUGUUGUUUUUCUAUUUAUGUUUUCGACUCUAACAUCUCUAUUUAUGUAAUCGACUCUAACAUCUCUCUAGCAUUUAAAUAUAUGUAUAGCUUGCUAAAGCAUUUAGAUAUGCAGUAAUCGACUCUAACAUCUCUGUUUCUGUUUCUGUAUACCAAAGCACAAUUUAACAUGGAAGAAAUGGUAGCAGCACCAUUUCAGGAUGGACAACAACCAAAAUCUCCUACAGAAGUUGUUUCUAAUGUGCUACUGGGCUCCAGUGUGUUCCUACACAAUGUUGGUCUUCAGUCUGCCUCCAAGAAAAGCUCCACAACAACUGUUUCGGCAAUGGCUCAACAACUUCAGGAUGAACUAGAGAUCGAGAAGCAAGAAAAAGAUGGCCUUCAGGAAGAAGUGGAAACCUUGAAGGCUUAAGCACAAGCAUCUCAGGAGACCACUGAUAGUAUGAAGAGGUCGAUGGAAGAAAAUAACAACCUCCUUCGUCUACUAUUAAGCUUCAAUCGAGGCCAAGUGCCUCCAUCUUAAGUCUGGUUGACCACUAUAGGACCUGCAGCCUUAUGGCUGCUAUAGUGGCUAGCAAUAGUAGCUCUAGAUUUGAAGUUAUCGGAUCAUUUUAAAUUAUGCUUAAUGUUUAAUACUUUGAGUUGAAGUUAUUGGAUUUGUUUUGGAUUUUAAGUUAAAGGAUUUGCAGAUAUAUGUUUUAAAGUUAUAUUAUUCUCUGCUAGAUGAAA
Zea mays is the source of this 1655-nucleotide RNA transcript. RefSeq lists it as uncharacterized. The record is from RefSeq and is a predicted model, not a curated record. The transcript is spliced from 4 exons. Lineage: Eukaryota; Viridiplantae; Streptophyta; Magnoliopsida; Poales; Poaceae.